UACAGAGGAGCCAAGCGUUGUCCGGAUUGACUGGGCGUAAAGCGCACGCAGGCGGUCGGGCGCGUGGGGUGUGAAAUCUGGCCGCUUAACGGCCAGGCGCCAUCCCAUACGGCUCGACUGGAGUGAUGCAGAGGUCGAUGGAAUUGCCGGUGUAGUGGUGAAAUGCGUAGAGAUCGGCAGGAACACCCAGGGGGAAACUAGUCGACUGGGCAUCUACUGACGCUGAGGUGCGAGAGCGUGGGGAGCGAACCGG
Molecule: ribosomal RNA, 253 nt
Filed under: uncultured bacterium
Lineage: Bacteria
Description: partial 16S ribosomal RNA
Rfam family: Bacterial small subunit ribosomal RNA
Source: RNAcentral